Tachysurus fulvidraco (yellow catfish) is the source of this 364-nucleotide long non-coding RNA. RefSeq lists it as uncharacterized. Lineage: Eukaryota; Metazoa; Chordata; Actinopteri; Siluriformes; Bagridae. The transcript has 3 exons. The record is from RefSeq and is a predicted model, not a curated record.
GCAGAGUUGGAGUGGAGAUCCUCUCGCAUCACAUCUCCAGGGCGCUGAACACCUUCUGACUGGAGACAAAUAGUGCGGUACUUGGUGAACUGGGAGAGAUCCAGGCUGGAGGAGUGAACGCAGGUCUUUCAUUCUGGACCACAGAGCCCACCCAGAUGGACACGUCAGGUUCCCCUUAGACCCUCAAUCUCAGAUUCAGCCGGUCUGUCCAUCUGGUCACCUGAUUCAGCUGUCUCGCCCUUCUCCCUACAUGACGCCUGUUUCAGCUGAACUCUUGACUUUCACUUCCUCACACAUUGUUGAUCAGAGAGCUCAGACUGACGAGGCCUGACAGUCUGGUUACAGUCUGGUUACUUUUACUAAG